GUAAAUGUGAAGAACAGAAUAGUAAUUUAAGGUUUAGCCGUUUAUAGAGAGCUCUUGAUUGCUGGGAAAGAGUAACGGCACUUAGGUGAACACAUCUGGGAGCAGGUUUAUUGAAGGAAGAAGUAGGUAAAUUCGGGACGGCCCGUUAAAGCCGGACAGUCAAUUUUAUGACUGGUUGAGGUUGAUAUUGUGAGAUAUCAAUAAAACUGAGGUGGAACCACGUGAAUGAUAUUCCCGUCCUCUGA
RNAcentral lists this non-coding RNA (245 nucleotides) under Listeria grayi. Its description in RNAcentral is "T-box sequence". It matches the Rfam family "T-box leader". From Rfam's summary of the family: Uncharged tRNA acts as the effector for transcription antitermination of genes in the T-box leader family. T-boxes are found upstream of many aminoacyl-tRNA synthetase genes and some amino acid biosynthetic genes usually in Gram-positive bacteria. The record is from RNAcentral. Lineage: Bacteria; Bacillati; Bacillota; Bacilli; Caryophanales; Listeriaceae.